Aedes aegypti (yellow fever mosquito) is the source of this 931-nucleotide long non-coding RNA. RefSeq lists it as uncharacterized. The record is from RefSeq and is a predicted model, not a curated record. The transcript is spliced from 3 exons. NCBI's taxonomy places the organism in Eukaryota, Metazoa, Arthropoda, Insecta, Diptera, Culicidae.
UCGACUACAUUGCACGGAAAGAAGCUCAGAAGAGCGUGAGCAGUGAUCAAGUGCGCAUGGGUGAAUUGUGCUGGGCGCAUCUAGUGAGUCGUGGCUGCCAAACCGAACCACGUCGGGAAACUCAUAUGGACUGUGACCAGUAUUCCCACGUGUGUACCCAGGAAGGUUUCCACCCAUAUCGCACCACUGGUCAAUUGCAUGUCAUCCACGGCCGUUGGGCUACCGCAAAGCGACCUAAACAUUAUUAGCCCACUCCGAGGAAUCUGUAGCUCUUCACACCAAGGAAGGAGAUUCAAGGGCAAAAGCCUGAACAACGCUCGUACACAUCACCACUAUUGCGAAGCGAGAGAUUGCAUACUCUCUCAACCAACCAAAAGGCCUCCAACAAUCGGAGUGAAUAGAUUGUAGUAGCCUCUGUAGUGGACAUGAGAUCUGACGUCAUUGUGCCCUCAGGGCCUUUUCUUCCCCAUACUCUAUUCUCAGCAGAUCCCAUUGAGAGAGCCACGCACGCUUGACAUUACCAUAGCGAUCGGGAUCACGAACAGGAGCAGUGGGAUAGACGGUUGGCACAGUAAGCACCAGCUACCGUGGGCUAGCCAUCCACGAUUGUCUGUUGGGAGAGAUCGGGCUUCAGGAGCGAUCGCCAGCGAAGAAUCCACCAGCAUUACGCCAAUCAGGGACGAAUGACCUUCGGGUUAAAGUCCCUCUCAAACAACAACAAUUACGCCAAAGCAUGCGCUGCAGUAACGCAACUCGGAUGGCACACCUCAACGUCACCAAAAGAUCAAGCGGACGGUACCAGAAAGAAUCAUAAGAUGGGCUCAUCGUGAGUAGACAGUAAAUAUUGAUCACCUAGCAUAAGAAACAAACAUUACGUAGUAUUAGCUAGUUAGGCUAUAGCCUUACCUAUAGGUAAAGAUGCGCUGUUUGA